ACGCAGUGUGCACAAAACGAACCAUUCUUUCGCCUUUUAGUAAAGAAUACCGUGUGCACGUUUCUUCUGAAAAUGCUCUAUAAUUCGAGUUGAAAUGAUUUUAUUUUGUUUU
This is a small nuclear RNA of Hibiscus syriacus, 112 nucleotides long. RefSeq annotates it as U5 spliceosomal RNA. NCBI's taxonomy places the organism in Eukaryota, Viridiplantae, Streptophyta, Magnoliopsida, Malvales, Malvaceae. The record is from RefSeq and is a predicted model, not a curated record. The transcript has a single exon.